Molecule: long non-coding RNA, 1061 nt
Organism: Temnothorax curvispinosus
Lineage: Eukaryota; Metazoa; Arthropoda; Insecta; Hymenoptera; Formicidae
Exons: 5
Source: RefSeq, a predicted model, not a curated record
GACAAGAGCUUCUAAAACAAGCAGUAUCCAAUUAGAAUAUCUUAUUGGAUACAUGCAAAGUCACAAUGCAUUUGCUACUGGAAAAUUAUUAGGAGCAAGGGGAAAGGCAGCCCACGAUACACAAUGGCAAGAAUUGGCUGAGGAGCUGAAUCGCUUAGAAGGGCCAUCAAAAAGUUAGAAGCUUGGAAAAAACUUUGGUGUGAUCAAAGGAAUCAAGCCAGAGGCCGGGCAGCAAAGGUCAAAGCAGAUCAAAAACUUACUGGCAACACUGGCAAUGCAAUCCAACUAAAGGAUUUGGAUUUACGCAUUUUGUCUGUUAUUGGUGGCGAAUCGUCUGUAGGUCUGCCUGUAAUGGAGAUGGGCUUUGGAGAACGACCUGAGAUUUGUUAUUUUUUCACUAAAAGUUAUAUACAAAAUAUAUAUAACAUAAUGUGUCUAUAGUGGUUUUAAUUAAUUAUGCUGUGCUUACUUUAAGGAUAUCGCUGAUCCGUCUCUGACAUUGGGAUUGAUAUCAUCUACUGACUUAAAUGAAUUUAUUAUUAUUCAAGAAGAAUCAAAUGCAACAGAAACAACUGAGGAGAGUACAAGUGCAGUUAUCCAAGAUGUAGAAGAGACAAUUCUAACUCCUAAACCGCAAGAAAAUCUACAUCGUAAUGAAAAACCAUCUAAACCUCAUACUAUUGUAUCAGUUCCUGUAUUGCCUAUUAAUGAACCUCUUAACCAGCACGAUAAACCUAAUACAACUGUUCCCGUAUUGUCUCUUGAUGAACUUUUUAACCAGCACAAUAUACCUAACAAAACAGGACAAUUAUUGAUAACAUCUAAUAUACGUAAUUCAACCAGUCACAAUAGGAAACGUUUCAAAAGCUCUUCCGUGGAAGAAAGCGUGAACUCUUUUAAAAGAUCAGCAAGACAGACAUAUUAAAAGUUUACAGCCAUUGCAGAUAAUGGCUAAAAAUUUAAGCCGCAUUGCUUCUGCAACAGAAGAACAAACUGAUCUGCUUCGAAAAUCUUUAACACUACAUAAACAAACGCUAGAUAUCUUAUCUAAAACUAUUGAA